AUACAUGAGCAAAAUCUCAACUUUAUUAGAAGAGACGCAUUUAUUAGAUAAAAAGCCAAUGCAUGCUUUUACAGUAUGGAAAUUGGUGAUUUAUAAUAACUUGGCAAAUCGCAAAGUGAAAACAGGCGAUAAAUCAUUCAAGUUUCUGACCUAUCAGCUUUCGACGGUAUGGUAUUGGCUUACCGUGGCAGUGACGGUUAACGGGGGAUUAGGGUUCGAUUCCGGAGAGGGAGCCUGAGAAACGGCUACCACAUCUAAGGAAGGCAGCAGGCGCGCAAAUUACCCAAUUCUAACAGUUUGGGAGAGGUAGUAACAAGAAAUAACAAUACAAGGCAAUUAAAAUGUUUUGUAAUUGGAAUGAUAGAAAUUUAAACCCUUUUUAAAGUAUCAAUUGGAGGGCAAGUCUGGUGCCAGCAGCCGCGGUAAUUCCAGCUCCAAUAGCGUAUAUUAAAAUUGUUGCAGUUAAAAAGCUCGUAGUUGAAGUUCUGCUAAAAGUAACCGGUCUGCUUUUAAUAAAAGUGGUAUCUUGGUGUGUAUUUAGCAAUGAUGUCCUUUGAAGUGUUUUUUACUUUAUUGUAAUAAAGCAUAUUCAGGACUUUUACUUUGAGAAAAUUAGAGUGUUUCUAGCAGGCCGACGCUUUGAAUACUGCAGCAUGGAAUAAUAAG
This 666-nucleotide ribosomal RNA is filed under the name Hepatozoon canis. RNAcentral's name for it is "SSU rRNA". It matches the Rfam family "Eukaryotic small subunit ribosomal RNA", at positions 167 to 821 of the family's 1831-position model. The record is from RNAcentral. Lineage: Eukaryota; Apicomplexa; Hepatozoidae.